CACGUAGGCACCAAGCGUUGUCCGGAUUUAUUGGGCGUAAAGAGCUCGUAGGCGGUUCGGUAAGUCGGGUGUGAAAACUCUGGGCUCAACCCAGAGACGCCACCCGAUACUGCUGUGACUAGAGUGCGGUAGGGGAGCGGGGAAUUCCUGGUGUAGCGGUGAAAUGCGCAGAUAUCAGGAAGAACACCCGUGGCUAAGGCGGCUCUCUAGUACGGUACUGACGCUGAGACGCGAAAGCGUGGGGAGCGAACAGG
This 254-nucleotide ribosomal RNA is filed under the name uncultured bacterium. RNAcentral's name for it is "partial 16S ribosomal RNA". It matches the Rfam family "Bacterial small subunit ribosomal RNA", at positions 524 to 776 of the family's 1533-position model. The record is from RNAcentral.